RNAcentral lists this long non-coding RNA (675 nucleotides) under Marmota monax (woodchuck). The record is from RNAcentral. Lineage: Eukaryota; Metazoa; Chordata; Mammalia; Rodentia; Sciuridae.
AGCAAAUAAAUCUUUCUUCCUUUAAGUUUUUUUUUUUUUUUUUUUUUUAGGUAUUUUGUCAUAGCACCAGAAAACUGGUCAACAGUGAUCAAAUAGAAUUAACUUGAGAAAGUAGGACUGGCUCAACAUUCAAAUGUAAAUUCAACCUAUCAACUGAAGGAAGAAGAAGAAAAAAAAAAACUACAGAUAUUAUCACGAUAGAUAAAGACAAAUUAUUGAUAAAAUCCAAUGCAUAUUACUGAAUAAAAUUCUUAGUAAACUGGAGAUAGAUGUAAACUUCCUCAACUGAAAAACUACAUCUACAAAAACUCUAUAUCUGGCAUUACAUUUAAUAGUGACAAGAGAAUCUGUUACUCUAAGAUGAGCAAGGAGGCAAGAUUAUUUGUUCUUACUAUUCCUAUUGAAUUUCACCCUGAGUCCUAGUCAAUAUGAUGUUGUAAGACAAAGAAUUAAAGUGGUAAAUAGAUCUGAAUGGAAGAAAUAUGGUUGUCAUUAUCCACAUAUGACAUGCAUGUUCACAUGGAAAAUCCACGGAAUCUAUAAAAACAAUCAGAACUAAUAGGUGAGUCGAACAUAGUUGCAAGAUGUCAAUAGUAAAUAAAGAUUUAUUAUAUUUCUACAUACUAGUUGUGAAAAAUUAAAAUACAAAAAUUNCCUGGGGAUGACCUUGGAGAU